GUCAGGUUGACCGAGUGGUCAAAGGCGUCGGAUUUAAGCUCCGAUACCCGAAAGGGUGCGAGGGUUCGAACCCCUCACCUGACA
Molecule: non-coding RNA, 84 nt
Organism: Diabrotica virgifera virgifera (western corn rootworm)
Lineage: Eukaryota; Metazoa; Arthropoda; Insecta; Coleoptera; Chrysomelidae
Source: the annotation of a RefSeq genome assembly